AAACUUCGGAGAUGGUUACAUCCACAAAGAAGACCCCGACAAAGAGAAAGUGUGCCCGAACGACUUAUUUCAUUGGAGGCAACGAGAUCUGCAAGAAUACUUUUCUGUUUCUUAUGGGGUCUAACCACUAACUGAGGUCUAAACCAGGACUAAAACAAGACUAAACCAGGAAGUACAGAUACAAGCUCUAAACAUUGGCAGAGACACCCUGGCUGAUAUAGUCAAACACUAUGAGGAGAAUGGGGCAAGACCACGUUUGAGGAAGAAGCACUCAUUGCCACGUCCACCAGCCAGGUUCAUCAGCCCUGAGGAUAUCAACAGAGUUGUGGACUUCAUAAAACACUAUGCAGAAGACAAUGCCAUCAUGCUGCCUGGCCGACAGCCUGGGCAUAAGGAUUGGCAUGUGAAGUUGCUGCCAACUCAUGUGUCCAAGGCCUCAGUGUGGCGUCUCUACGUGAAGUCUGCUAAGGAGCUUGGUGAGCGUGCAGUUUGUAAAACCAGCUUCAAAGCACUGUGGAACCGACUUCUCCCACACAUCAAAAGUUGCCG
Molecule: long non-coding RNA, 549 nt
Organism: Xyrauchen texanus (razorback sucker)
Lineage: Eukaryota; Metazoa; Chordata; Actinopteri; Cypriniformes; Catostomidae
Exons: 4
Source: RefSeq, a predicted model, not a curated record